CAGUCGCCACGGUAAUACGUAGGUGGCAAGCGUUGUCCGGAAUUAUUGGGCGUAAAGGGCUCGCAGGCGGUUUCUUAAGUCUGAUGUGAAAGCCCCCGGCUCAACCGGGGAGGGUCAUUGGAAACUGGGAAACUUGAGUGCAGAAGAGGAGAGUGGAAUUCCACGUGCAGCGGUGAAAUGCGUAGAGAUGUGGAGGAACACCAGUGGCGAAGGCGACUCUCUGGUCUGUAACUGACGCUGAGAGACGAAAGCGUGGGGAGCGAACAGGAUUAGAUACCCCUGUAGUCCCUGUCUCUUAUAC
RNAcentral lists this ribosomal RNA (301 nucleotides) under uncultured bacterium. RNAcentral describes it as "partial 16S ribosomal RNA". It matches the Rfam family "Bacterial small subunit ribosomal RNA", at positions 509 to 807 of the family's 1533-position model. The record is from RNAcentral.